GAUGAACGCUGGCGGCGUGCUUAACACAUGCAAGUCGAACGGAAAGGCCCAAGCUUGCUUGGGUACUCGAGUGGCGAACGUGUGAGUAACACGUGGGUGAUCUGCCCUGCACUUCGGGAUAAGCCUGGGAAACUGGGUCUAAUACCGGAUAGGACCACAUUUUGGAUGGUGUGGUGGAAAGUUUUUCGGUGUGGGAUGAGCUCGCGGCCUAUCAGCUUGUUGGUGGGGUAAUGGCCUACCAAGGCGUCGACGGGUAGCCGGCCUGAGAGGGUGUACGGCCACAGUGGGACUGAGAUACGGCCCAGACUCCUACGGGAGGCAGCAGUGGGGAAUAUUGCACAAUGGGCGCAAGCCUGAGGCAGCGACGCCGCGUGGGGGAUGACGGCCUUCGGGUUGUAAACUCCGUGCGCUAGGGACGAAGCGUUAUGUGACGGUACCUGGAGAAGAAGCACCGGCUAACUACGUG
RNAcentral lists this ribosomal RNA (466 nucleotides) under uncultured bacterium. RNAcentral's name for it is "partial 16S ribosomal RNA". It matches the Rfam family "Bacterial small subunit ribosomal RNA", at positions 28 to 507 of the family's 1533-position model. The record is from RNAcentral.